RNAcentral lists this ribosomal RNA (460 nucleotides) under uncultured bacterium. RNAcentral describes it as "partial 16S ribosomal RNA". It matches the Rfam family "Bacterial small subunit ribosomal RNA", at positions 338 to 795 of the family's 1533-position model. The record is from RNAcentral.
CCUACGGGUGGCAGCAGUGAGGAAUAUUGGUCAAUGGGCGCGAGCCUGAACCAGCCAAGUAGCGUGAAGGAUGACUGCCCUAUGGUUUGUAACCUUCUUUUAUAAGGGAAUAAAGUGAGGCACGUGUGCCUUUUUGUAUGUACUUUAUGAAUAAGGAUCGGCUAACUCCGUGCCAGCAGCCGCGGUAAUACGGAGGAUGCGAGCGUUAUCCGGAUUUAUUGGGUUUAAAGGGAGGGUAGGUGGGUUGUUAAGUCAGUUGUGAAAGUUUGCGGCUCAACCGUAAAAUUGCAAUUGAUACUGGCAGGCUUGAGUACAGUUGAGGUAGGCGGAAUGCGUGGUGUAGCGGUGAAAUGCUUAGAUAUCACGAAGAACUCCGAUUGCGAAGGCAGCUUACUAAACUGCCACUGACAUUGAGGCUCGAAAGUGUGGGUAUCAAACAGGAUUAGAUACCCUUGUAGUC